Molecule: long non-coding RNA, 979 nt
Filed under: Homo sapiens (human)
Lineage: Eukaryota; Metazoa; Chordata; Mammalia; Primates; Hominidae
Description: PREDICTED lncRNA (TCONS_00273887)
Source: RNAcentral
ACAACUGCAGCGAGAGAAGAGGCUGGCAGCAUGGGUGGCAGGAGGCUUGGCAGCCUCACAGGAUGCCUGCAAAUACCUUUCACUUAUGCAGUUUGGCAGUGCAGUGGUGCAUGGAGACAGCGUCUUGGGCCUGGCACCCACAGCCACUUAGGAAGUUGGAGUCCUGGAGAGGAGAACACAGAACGUGGACAACUAGCUGUCAAAUUGCAGUAAAAGUUGGUUCAGGAAAAGUGGAAGCUACCCAGAUGUCUACCAAUUGAGAUGAACCAUCCAAUCUCCUGCCUCGAGUAUUGAAGCCUGGCUACUGUGACUGUGGGGAAGGGAUUAAUGGUCUCAGCAUUCAGCCAACAACAAUACCUGCUCACUAUAAGCAUUCAGAAAACAGAAAAGUUUCAAGAAGCAGGAAGAAAAGACUCACCUAUGAUCCCAACACCCAGAGAUAAGAGUCCUGAAGCUCAGAUGACACAGCUGAUAACAGGGAAGCCAGGACAGAAUCUCAUUGUUUUGAACACCAAAACCCGUUCCCUUGACAACUUGGCUAUACUACACUAUUCGAAUGUUGCAGAUACUGUGGUCACAUUUCAAAGGCCAGAUCUUUCCCAGGGCUUAAGCUGUUCCUUGGAUACUUUUGGUAAGUCAUUUAUCCACUAAUCAUUUAGUAAUCGUCUCUGACAUGCCAAACACCCUGCUCAGGGCUGGAAAUGCAGAACCUGGGAAGCCACUGGCCUUGUCCUCAAGAUCUCUCUCUGGCUCCCUUUGAAUUUGCUAAUUCAGACUUUCACAUUUCCCCCAGGAAAAAUCAUAAGGACCAAAUCAUAUCCGUUUUCUCAAAUGGCUUCAAAGACCCAUGUCAUCGUUUGGCAUCAUGUAAUUCUUUACUGAUGUACUUUAAGAGUCACGUUUUAUUCUCUUUAUGCAGCUGUCAAGGACAGACACAAAGAGUGGGGGUGUCUUCCUCACUAAAUACUUUCCCACAACA